This 1466-nucleotide long non-coding RNA is filed under the name Anser cygnoides (Swan goose). Its description in RNAcentral is "lncRNA (ENSACDG00005009738.1)". The record is from RNAcentral. Lineage: Eukaryota; Metazoa; Chordata; Aves; Anseriformes; Anatidae.
ACUGAGAUGCUGGAUUAACGUUAAAGAACUGUAGAGACCAAAGUUCAAGGGCAAGUUUUAAUGUAUAUUUUCAAGAUUCCCUGUAGCCUGAGCUUAUGAUGUCUUAAAAGGUCGACUGAAGGAAACUCAGCAGUUAACAGCCCUGCUUCUCUUGGGCAAGGAACCCUGAAUGAGUAUAACUGCUGAGAUAAGACUGUAAACUGAAGCUUGCAUUAAAUAAGGAAUAUUGCUUCCUGCCACUCUCUAAGCAAGGUGAAAAUCUUUAGCCUUGCCUUUUCCUAAAUAAACUUAUGAAAGUAUAUGUAUUUGUGUGCAUAUAAUGUAUUAAAUAACACGACUUCAUGCUCUUUUUCUUUAAGUGGAAGAUGAGAAAAUAUUUGUGAAGCUAAUGUGCUUUUUGCUAUUUAAUGCACCAUUGGAAAGCAUUUACAUUUGCAUUUAAAGGUCACACGAAUUAAAAAUAAAGUCCCAGGAUCAGCUGGGGACAGCUCGAACAGAAAGAACAGAGGACUCUAGAGAUAAUGAAUUGUGCACUGUCACCUGGGAGUUUCAGGAAAACAGCCACUGGCGAUACAACUUCUAUAUGUGCAGAGUGAGGGAACAUUUGCUCCAAAACAUCCAAAAUCAGCAUCCAGAUUAUGGGGAUAGAUUACACAGAAACACACACACACACACAAGUUUCAAAUGGACAAGCACCUUUGGUACCUCAUGAAUUUAUGAGGUAUGUUUAAUUACUCCUUUGAAUCCUUUCAGUGAAGAGGAUUAUUUGAGGUCAGAGAAUGGGGAGAAUAUUAAUAAUUAUGAUCUCAUAUAGUCUGAGUGCAAAUGAUCCCAAUGUUAGCACUGAAAUCAUUAAUACGGAUAUUCAUUUUGUAACAGCAGCUCAUUUACUCCAGCUAUAAUUGUCCCUGGUAUGUAUUUAGGGAUAAAGUGAUGUGAAAUGUUUCUUUGCAGAAAGUGUUGGUUAUAACGUAUAUGAAACUGGGAAAAGCUAUUGUUUUAAGAGUUUGAUGUAUACAAAACUGAGGUUUCAUGUGAAAAAAAUCAGAGGAAAAUGCAUUUAUAGCCGAUGUAUUUUAGUCUAAAAUGAAAAAAUAACUAAGUAGUUACACCACACAAAACUGUGAAAAAGACAGAUAGUGCACUUUCAUCAUAUGUUAAUCAGAUUUGUCUUUUCUACACACAUAAAAUUCUUUAGGUGUAAUCCGCACAACUAGAAGAUUUCUAGAAGGUGUCAUCAAUCAUUUAUAGUCACUGAUAAUGAUAAUAUACAUGGAAUAUAAUCUUCAAUCAGAGUGAAAUUCUCCAUAAUGACUUCAGAUCAAAAAAGAAAAUAUAUAUAUAUAUAUAGGUUAUCUGUAAAUAGAGAAAGAAUUUAAUCACUCUAUAGGAUUUUAUUUUCUUUCAGACCAAAUUUUACAUUCUUCACAAAUAAAAUUUGAAAUAGGCCUAGUGUAUUUUAUCCC